GACGAACGCUGGCGGCGUGCUUAACACAUGCAAGUCGAACGGAAAGGCCCUGCUUUUGUGGGGUGCUCGAGUGGCGAACGGGUGAGUAACACGUGAGUAACCUGCCCUUGACUUUGGGAUAACUUCAGGAAACUGGGGCUAAUACCGGAUAGGAGCUCCUGCUGCAUGGUGGGGGUUGGAAAGUUUCGGCGGUUGGGGAUGGACUCGCGGCUUAUCAGCUUGUUGGUGGGGUAGUGGCUUACCAAGGCUUUGACGGGUAGCCGGCCUGAGAGGGUGACCGGCCAAAUGGGGACUGAGAUACGGCCCAGACUCCUACGGGAGGCAGCAGGGGGGAAUAUGGAAAAAUGGGCGGAGGCCUGAUGCAGCAACGCCGCGUGCGGGAGGACGGCCUUCGGGUUGUAAACCGCUUUCGCCUGUGACGAAGCGUGAGUGACGGUAAUGGGUAAAGAAGCACCGGCUAACUACGU
RNAcentral lists this ribosomal RNA (467 nucleotides) under uncultured bacterium. Its description in RNAcentral is "partial 16S ribosomal RNA". It matches the Rfam family "Bacterial small subunit ribosomal RNA", at positions 28 to 506 of the family's 1533-position model. The record is from RNAcentral.